CCCUCACACAUUUUGUGAUGGAUGCAAAUUCCGCCCAGCUUCCAACACGGCGUAGUCUUCAUCGAUCCUGAGGAAAACGUUCAUUAGAAAUGAAUGAUAGAUGACAUCUUGGCGACGUGGCGGUCGGUCGACGUACCCUGUGGCUUGGGUUCCGGCUGCCUAAUUACGUCUCUUUCGCAAAUUUAUACUAUCAUUAGUCAAAAUAAACUGUGCUAAUGGAAUUGAUGUAUAUCACCUUAGAGCAGCCAAAACUCCGAGCAAAGCGCAAUAAACUUCGUCUAUCUUCAUUUAAACUUUAAUUACGAUGACAGAAAGAAUUAUUAGCACAUUAAUAAUCCAGGAUUUCACUGGGACAUCGAACACCCUUUCUGCUGGACAACAGAGCGCUUUAUGCGACACUCUGAAAGAUUUCCGAAAGUCAUACAUAUCGAGCCCUGCAAUGAACGCACGUCCACGGAAAUGUCACUCAGUGCUCUCAACCUAUUCACUUUGAAGCGCUCCAUAGACAAUGUAACGCCUAUCGGUUUACAGAGCAUCGAAUUUCAUUAAUCUUCUUAAUUAAAACCGAGUUUCAAGUCGUUUCGCAUUGUGUAUUUUACGCCUACACAAUUAAGGUACUUCUUCUUGCGUAAUUAUAGCUUUUGUGGCUUUAGAAAGAUAUUGUGAGGUGAGUAGGUAGAUAUAGACGCUCUCGUCUGCUGACCUUUAGAGUAAUUGAAUAGACAUGAGACAGCAAAGUCCUUUGUCGAGCAAGUUGCAAUUUCAAGGCGCGUCGUAAUGGCCAGCUCUUUGUCCUGUCCAUUCUUAAGCGGUCCCCUUGAAGAUAGAUGGGGAUAACUCUAGACACGCGUAACAACACUUUGUGCGGUCGAAUGGCUGAUGAGGACGGAUUAUCCACCUAUAUCGCCUAACCCGGGGCCAUCUUGGACCGUUUACUUUACACGCUAAAGUUAAGUGUGGUCCACAUAAAACUGUCUGUAUACCUACAUUUUAUCACGUAGGCAGAUGGUUGAUGUUCAUAAAUUAGCAAUA
Molecule: non-coding RNA, 1032 nt
Organism: Spodoptera litura
Lineage: Eukaryota; Metazoa; Arthropoda; Insecta; Lepidoptera; Noctuidae
Source: RefSeq, a predicted model, not a curated record